CGCAUCUGUGCAUGCAGCAUAUCAAUAAGCGGAGGAAAAGAAACUAACAAGGAUUCCCUUAGUAACGGCGAGUGAAGCGGGAAGAGCUCAAAUUUGAAAUCUUCAAGGUUUUACCUUGACGAAUUGUAGUUUAAAGAAGUGUUUUCUGUUGAAGUUUUGGUAAAAGUUCUUUGGAAUAGGACAUCAUAGAGGGUGAGAAUCCCGUAUUUGACCAUUAUUUUCAGCUGUGUGAUACACUUUCAAAGAGUCGGAUUGUUUGGGAAUGCAGUCCAAAAUGGGCGGUAAAUUUCAUCUAAAGCUAAAUAUUGGCGAGAGACCGAUAGCGAACAAGUACCGUGAGGGAAAGAUGAAAAGAACUUUGAAAAGAGAGUUAAACAGUACGUGAAAUUGUCAAAAGGGAAGCGUUUGACACCAGUGUUGUUUUCUCGAAAAUCAAUUAAAAAGAGUUAGAUUUUGUUGUGUAUUGACCUUAACAGCUUGCAUUUCAAUUUUCUUGCUUUUUUUAAUGCACUUUUCGUUUAACAAGUCAACAUCAGUUUCUUUUGUUGUAAAAAGGUCAUUGGAAGGUGGCUUUCUUUUCGGAGAAAGUGUUUAUAGCCUUUGACUCCUGCAAUCGGAGAGACUGAGGUCUGCAGCGUAGAUCCUUCGGGGUUAGAUACAUUUGUGCUAAGUUAUAGCUUUUUAUAGACAACUUGUUGACUAUGAUUAGUCUUGUAGCUUACUCGCUUAUGCUAUUUUACCUACGCUUAGGAUGUUGACGCGCGUGUGUGCGUG
This 774-nucleotide ribosomal RNA is filed under the name uncultured Neocallimastigales. RNAcentral describes it as "partial large subunit ribosomal RNA". It matches the Rfam family "Eukaryotic large subunit ribosomal RNA", at positions 26 to 639 of the family's 3401-position model. The record is from RNAcentral. Lineage: Eukaryota; Fungi; Neocallimastigomycota; Neocallimastigomycetes; Neocallimastigales.